AACGAACGCUGGCGGCGCGUCUUAACCAUGCAAGUCGAGCGGCAGGCAGCAAUGCCGAGAGCGGCGGACUGGUGAGUAACACGUGGAUAACGUACCCCGAUGUCUGGGACAGCCUGUAGAAAUAGAGGGUAAUACCGGAUAGAUCACUGUUUACGUGAGGUAGACAGCGGGAAAGGAGCUUCGGCUCCGCGUCGGGAACGGUCUGCGGCCCAUCAGCUAGACGGCGGGGUAAGUGCCCGCCGUGGCGAGGACGGGUAUCCGGCCUGAGAGGGCGGACGGACACAUUGGGACUGAGAUACGGCCCAGACUCCUACGGGAGGCAGCAGGUAAGAAUAUUCCGCAAUGGGGGGAACCCUGACGGAGCGACGCCGCGUGAACGAAGAAGGCCGGAAGGUUGUAAAGUUCUUUUCUGUUCGAGGAAUAAGUGUAGGAGGAAAUGCCUGCAUGGUGACGGUAGGGCAGGAAUAAGCACCGGCUAAUUACGUGCCAGCAGCCGCGGUAACACGUAAGGUGCGAGCGUUGUUCGGAAUUAUUGGGCGUAAAGGGCAUGCAGGCGGGUCGCCAAGCUUGGUAAGAAAUACCGGGGCUCAACUCCGGAGCUAUAUUGAGAACUGGCGAGCUAGAGUUGCCGAAGGGUAUCCGGAAUUCCGCGUGAAGGGGUGAAAUCUGUAGAUAUGCGGAAGAACACCGAUGGCGAAGGCAGGAUACCGGCGGACGACUGACGCUGAGGUGCGAAGGUGCGGGGAGCAAACAGGAUUAGAUACCCUGGUAGUCCGCACAGUCAACGAUGUACACUGGGCGUGUGCGCAAGAGCGUGCGUGCCGAAGCAAACGCGAUAAGUGUACCGCCUGGGGAGUAUGCCCGCAAGGGUGAAACUCAAAGGAAUUGACGGGGGCCCGCACAAGCGGUGGAGCAUGUGGUUUAAUUCGAUGGUACGCGAGGAACCUUACCUGGGUUUGACAUCAAGAGCGAUACUAUAGAGAUAUGG
This 988-nucleotide ribosomal RNA is filed under the name Treponema socranskii. RNAcentral's name for it is "bacterial SSU rRNA". It matches the Rfam family "Bacterial small subunit ribosomal RNA", at positions 28 to 1011 of the family's 1533-position model. The record is from RNAcentral. Lineage: Bacteria; Pseudomonadati; Spirochaetota; Spirochaetia; Treponematales; Treponemataceae.